RNAcentral lists this ribosomal RNA (571 nucleotides) under Distoseptispora yichunensis. Its description in RNAcentral is "Distoseptispora sp. YH-2023h partial large subunit ribosomal RNA". It matches the Rfam family "Eukaryotic large subunit ribosomal RNA", at positions 84 to 673 of the family's 3401-position model. The record is from RNAcentral. Lineage: Eukaryota; Fungi; Ascomycota; Sordariomycetes; Distoseptisporaceae.
UAACGGGGCGAUGAAGCGGCAACAGCUCAGAUUUGAAAUCUGGCCUCUUUGGGGUCCGAGUUGUAAUCUGUAGAGGAUGCUUUUGGCGACGCGCCUUCCGAGUCCCCUGGAACGGGGCGCCAGAGAGGGUGAGAGCCCCGUAUGGUUGGACGCCGAACCUCUGUAAAGCUCCUUCGACGAGUCGAGUAGUUUGGGAAUGCUGCUCAAAAUGGGAGGUAAAUUUCUUCUAAAGCUAAAUACCGGCCAGAGACCGAUAGCGCACAAGUAGAGUGAUCGAAAGAUGAAAAGCACUUUGAAAAGAGGGUCAAAUAGCACGUGAAAUUGCUGAAAGGGAAGCGCUUGUGACCAGACUUGCGCCCGGUUGAUCAUCCAGCGUUCUCGCUGGUGCACUCUGCCGGGCUCAGGCCAGCAUCGGCUCUUCCAGGGGGAUAAAGGUCGCGGGAACGUAUCUCUCUCCGGGGAGUGUUAUAGCCCGUGGCGGAAUGCCCUUAGGGGGGGCCGAGGCCCGCGUUCGCAAGGAUGCUGGCGUAAUGGUCACCAGCGACCCGUCUUGAAACACGGACCCAAGGAG